RNAcentral lists this ribosomal RNA (346 nucleotides) under Eurynecroscia nigrofasciata. Its description in RNAcentral is "partial small subunit ribosomal RNA". Lineage: Eukaryota; Metazoa; Arthropoda; Insecta; Phasmatodea; Lonchodidae. The record is from RNAcentral.
UAGUUAUAUUCUUUAAACUUAAAGAAUUUGGCGGUGUUAUUGGUCUAUUUAGAGGAAUUUGCCCCUUAAUCGAUAGUCCUCGUUAUAUCUUGCUUUAUUUUGUAUUCAAUAUGUAUAUCGUUGUUAUAGUUUAUUUUUAUAGAAUAAAAAUUUACUUUAAUUAUUAUUUUAAUUUAUUUCAAAUCAAGGUGCAGUUUAUAAUAAAGUGGAGGUGAAUUACAUUAUUGUUGUAUAAACGGAUUUAAUUAUUUUAAAAUUUUAAUGAAGGCGGAUUUAAUAGUAAUUUUAAUUAUAAUGUUAAUUUGAUUAUAGUUCUGUAAUAAGUACACAUCGCCCGGUCGCUCUA